This is a small nuclear RNA of Sciurus carolinensis (gray squirrel), 104 nucleotides long. The record is from RefSeq and is a predicted model, not a curated record. NCBI's taxonomy places the organism in Eukaryota, Metazoa, Chordata, Mammalia, Rodentia, Sciuridae.
GUGAUUGCUUCAACAGCACAUACACUAAAACCGGAGCAAUACAGAGAUUAGCAUGGCCUCAGUGCAAGGAUGAUACACAAAUUCAUGAAGCGUUCCAUAUUAUA